GAUGAACGCUGGCGGCGUGCCUAAUACAUGCAAGUCGAGCGAACCACUUCGGUGGUGAGCGGCGAACGGGUGAGUAACACGUAGGUGAUCUGCCCAUCGGACGGGGACAACGAUUGGAAACGAUCGCUAAUACCGGAUAGGACGAAAGUUUAAAGGUGCUUCUGGCACCGCUGAUGGAUGAGCCUGCGGCGCAUUAGCUAGUUGGUAGGGUAAAGGCCUACCAAGGCGACGAUGCGUAGCCGACCUGAGAGGGUGAACGGCCACACUGGGACUGAGACACGGCCCAGACUCCUACGGGAGGCAGCAGUAGGGAAUCUUCGGCAAUGGGCGAAAGCCUGACCGAGCAACGCCGCGUGAAUGAUGAAGGCCUUCGGGUUGUAAAAUUCUGUUAUAAGGGAAGAACGACUUUAGUAGGAAAUGGCUAGGGUGUGACGGUACCUUAUGAGAAAGCCACGGCUAACUACGUGCCAGCCGCCGCGGUAA
Molecule: ribosomal RNA, 483 nt
Filed under: uncultured bacterium
Lineage: Bacteria
Description: partial 16S ribosomal RNA
Rfam family: Bacterial small subunit ribosomal RNA
Source: RNAcentral